GAUGAACGCUGGCGGCGUGCCUAAUACAUGCAAGUCGAGCGAACAGACGAGGAGCUUGCUCCUCUGACGUUAGCGGCGGACGGGUGAGUAACACGUGGAUAACCUACCUAUAAGACUGGGAUAACUUCGGGAAACCGGAGCUAAUACCGGAUAAUAUAUUGAACCGCAUGGUUCAAUAGUGAAAGACGGUUUUGCUGUCACUUAUAGACGGAUCCGCGCCGCAUUAGCUAGUUGGUAAGGUAACGGCUUACCAAGGCAACGAUGCGUAGCCGACCUGAGAGGGUGAUCGGCCACACUGGAACUGAGACACGGUCCAGACUCCUACGGGAGGCAGCAGUAGGGAAUCUUCCGCAAUGGGCGAAAGCUUGACGGAGCAACGCCGCGUGAGUGAUGAAGGUCUUCGGAUCGUAAAACUCUGUUAUUAGGGAAGAACAAAUGUGUAAGUAACUAUGCACGUCUUGACGGUACCUAAUCAGAAAGCCACGGCUAACUACGUG
This 497-nucleotide ribosomal RNA is filed under the name uncultured bacterium. RNAcentral describes it as "partial 16S ribosomal RNA". It matches the Rfam family "Bacterial small subunit ribosomal RNA", at positions 28 to 507 of the family's 1533-position model. The record is from RNAcentral.